AUUUUCAACCUAACCAUAACAUGAGUGUGUACAGUACGGAUGAACUGGUGCCACCUUCGUGGAUGAAUGAAGCAUUCUUCCAGAACUCUCUCAGGAGUUUUGAAAAUAGCAACGAUAUCAAGGUGGUAACUGUGGAUAUAAGCCCGGCGAGCAUGAAAGGGGAUCAUUAUUCCAGCAUUAUGUUUCGAGUCAAAGUCCAAUAUAAAACGGACGCCAAAGAGACUCGUGUCAUUACGAAGUCACUGAUAGUGAAAACACUCCCAGAUGAGGGUGAUAAAUAUGAUGUGUUAUCACAAUCAUUAUUAUUUGAAACCGAAAUUAGCAUGUAUACUCAGACUUUGCCGAAAAUUAGUAAAAUUUUAGCGGACCAUGGAAAUCCCAUUACUCUUGCACCAAAAAUAUUAUUUAGUUCGUUGGAGCCGCGGAAGGUGAUUAUCUUGGAGGAUCUGAAGGAACAAGGUUACGAAAUGAUGCGCAAUCGCCAUCCAACGGAAAGUGAGAUGAAGGCAAUUUAUCGAAAGUUGGCUAAACUGCAUGCCGCGAGUUAUGUUUUGGGGCAAAGUGAAGAUUCUGAAUACAUAACCCAGCAUCAGAAUGGAAUGUGUGGUUCGGAAUUGGUUUUGGAGCACGGUAUUUUUAAAAACGGGAUUGGACAAUUUAUAGAAUUUUUGGAAACGCAGCAAGAGUUUCAGGAAUAUGCACGAAAGUUUCAAGCAAUGAAAUAUGAUAUUUUAAAAAAGUCACAUGAACUGUUUUCCGUCUAUAAAAAUGGAAAACAAAAUGAAAUCCUUGUUUUGAAUCAUGGAGAUUUUCAUUUGAGAAACUUAAUGUUCAAGUUUGAUGAAAACUCUCAGAUGCAAGAUUUUAUUUUGUUCGACUUUCAACUUUGUGUUUAUGCACCGCCCGUUAUUGAUUUAAUGUACUCAGAAUACAUAAUGUGCAGUUCGGAAUCGCGAGACAAAUAUGAUAAUUUUUUGAGAGCAUAUUUUGAGCAAUUUAAUGAGACCCUGCGGAAAAUUAACUAUAAAGACAAACAACUAACAUAUUAUGGCCUAAAAAUGUCUUCUUUGCAAUACAGACACUUUCUGAUUUUAAUCAUUUCGUUUUUCGUACCCCUAUUAUAUGCAAAUGAAACGACGAGUUGCUACCAAAAUCCGCUUUUCAACGCUGAGCUGCGAAAACUUUUGCCGAAACUUCUACUUAAUGGCUACAUGGACUAAAUAUUAUAUGGACGAUAUGCAUAUAAGCAAUUGCAUGUACACAAGAAUGAUUAUUUUUACGAAGCUCCCUAUCGUCAAGCACAACAUUGUGCCCAUCCCACAUGGUAACGAAGUCCCAUACCUUAGUAUUCACUUGGAUAUACGAUUAACUAAGAGACGACUCAUUUCCGCCAAAAAUAUGCCGCUGAAGUUUCAAUUAUCUAGUUUAUAUUGGCUUUUAAGAAAAAAAUCUGGGCUUGACCUUGAAAACAAAGUGUUUUUUUUUUAUAAUGCGACUAUAAAACCGAUAUGGAAACCAAUUAUAGCGUAUAGCUUACGCGAUAAAUCUAGAUAUAAUACAAAGAUUUUAGCCGAAAGCAUUGAGAAUAAUAACACGGUGCGCCUGUACAAGCGUAAUGAAAAUAUACAUAGAGACUGCAAACUCAUCUGAACUCUUUGGCUGCUACUUUGGCCUCCGCAACAAGUCAAACAUGCCCGAAGAGAAGGAACUUACCACCCUUGUAAAGAGCAACACUGAGGAGCAGUUCAUUCAUAGCCAAUGGGCUGUUAUAU
RNA transcript from Ceratitis capitata (Mediterranean fruit fly), 1772 nucleotides. RefSeq lists it as hypothetical. The transcript is spliced from 6 exons. The record is from RefSeq and is a predicted model, not a curated record. Lineage: Eukaryota; Metazoa; Arthropoda; Insecta; Diptera; Tephritidae.